This 73-nucleotide transfer RNA is filed under the name Paramuricea clavata. It matches the Rfam family "tRNA". Rfam says of the family: Transfer RNA (tRNA) molecules are approximately 80 nucleotides in length. Their secondary structure includes four short double-helical elements and three loops (D, anti-codon, and T loops). Further hydrogen bonds mediate the characteristic L-shaped molecular structure. tRNAs have two regions of fundamental functional importance: the anti-codon, which is responsible for specific mRNA codon recognition, and the 3' end, to which the tRNAs corresponding amino acid is attached (by aminoacyl-tRNA synthetases). tRNAs cope with the degeneracy of the genetic code in two manners: having more than one tRNA (with a specific anti-codon) for a particular amino acid; and 'wobble' base-pairing, i.e. permitting non-standard base-pairing at the 3rd anti-codon position. The record is from Rfam by way of RNAcentral. Lineage: Eukaryota; Metazoa; Cnidaria; Anthozoa; Malacalcyonacea; Plexauridae.
GACCGCGUAGCUCAGUUGGCAGAGCAUUGGGCUAGUAUUCCAAAGGUCGUAGGUUCGAUUCCCACUGUAGUCA